AGGGCAGCAAGUUCGCGAGGACAAGCAAAUCCCAUAAACCGUAGCUCAGUUCAGAUCGUAGGCUGCAACUCGCCUACGUGAAGGAGGAAUCGCUAGUAAUCGCAGGUCAGCAUACUGCGGUGAAUACGUUCCCGGGCCUU
This 140-nucleotide ribosomal RNA is filed under the name uncultured marine bacterium pM9-19. RNAcentral describes it as "partial 16S ribosomal RNA". It matches the Rfam family "Bacterial small subunit ribosomal RNA", at positions 1243 to 1382 of the family's 1533-position model. The record is from RNAcentral. Lineage: Bacteria; Bacillati; Cyanobacteriota.